UGGGGAAUAUUGGACAAUGGGCGAAAGCCUGAUCCAGCCAUGCCGCGUGUGUGAAGAAGGUCUUCGGAUUGUAAAGCACUUUAAGUUGGGAGGAAGGGCAGUUACCUAAUACGUGAUUGUUUUGACGUUACCGACAGAAUAAGCACCGGCUAACUCUGUGCCAGCAGCCGCGGUAAUACAGAGGGUGCAAGCGUUAAUCGGAAUUACUGGGCGUAAAGCGCGCGUAGGUGGUUAGUUAAGUUGGAUGUGAAAUCCCCGGGCUCAACCUGGGAACUGCAUUCAAAACUGACUGACUAGAGUAUGGUAGAGGGUGGUGGAAUUUCCUGUGUAGCGGUGAAAUGCGUAGAUAUAGGAAGGAACACCAGUGGCGAAGGCGACCACCUGGACUGAUACUGACACUGAGGUGCGAAAGCGUGGGGAGCAAACAGGAUUAGAUACCAGUAGUCCCUGAGCGGGCUGGCAAGGCGCAU
Molecule: ribosomal RNA, 470 nt
Filed under: uncultured bacterium
Lineage: Bacteria
Description: bacterial SSU rRNA
Rfam family: Bacterial small subunit ribosomal RNA
Source: RNAcentral